RNAcentral lists this long non-coding RNA (694 nucleotides) under Microcebus murinus (gray mouse lemur). RNAcentral's name for it is "lncRNA (ENSMICG00000048626.1)". The record is from RNAcentral. Lineage: Eukaryota; Metazoa; Chordata; Mammalia; Primates; Cheirogaleidae.
AGGCCCUGCCGCCUCCGUUCCAUGGGUAAAGGCCGCAGACGGGAGGAGAGGCCUGUCGUGGGAAAUGCGGCUCUGUGGCGACGCGCACGGUGAUAGGAAGAAUCUUGGGUUUCAGGGGGACGCCCCGCUAACCCCUCAAAUCUGGACGGCGCGGCGGUGUUUACGAGGCACUUUCACUCGUUGCGCACAUGUUUACUGAGUGCAGACCCGUGCCAGGCCCCGUGCUGGGCAGGGGAAAGGAGGAUGGAGAUGCGACCAGGCUGCCUAGUGGGGAGACGGAUGAGGAAAAGGGCCAUGACGAUGUUCCUCUCACUCCUUACUUUUCCUGGUCCGUGCUCAUCACUGUUAGGCAUUCUUCUGAACUCAUUGAGCCCUCGGAACGCUACAAGGACUGCACCUAAGAGAGCGUGACACUUCACAGGCUAACUCUGGACCCUUUGGAGUAUUCCUGGCCGGCUUGGUGGCCUUGCAGGGAUUGGCAAGCCCACGUUAAAGAGAAGAAAGUCAUGGCUCUGGAGGGCAAUGUGACACAUUUUUUUUUGUUUGUUUUGCCUGUAGGCAAUAAAAAUUAAAGCAUCAUUUUGCCUCCCUGCCUUGUAUUGAGGAGAAACUGAGGCCAGAGAGAAGAAGGCACCUGGCCAACAUCACGCAAUGAAUCUGAGGCAGACCCAGGACUGACACCCGGACCUGCUGA